GUACUGCUGAAGAGCCCCAAACUGGGCUGACGAAACAGCUGUCCAGUAC
Non-coding RNA from Trichobilharzia regenti, 49 nucleotides. NCBI's taxonomy places the organism in Eukaryota, Metazoa, Platyhelminthes, Trematoda, Strigeidida, Schistosomatidae. The record is from Rfam.